GCGCUUCAGAAUGUGACCGUAUUUGGAAACAGGCUCGUUGCAGAUGUAAUUAGUUAAGUUAAGAUGAGGUCGUACUGGAGUAGCGUGGGCCCCUAAUCCAACAGGACUGUGUCUUUAUAAAAAGGGGAACUCUGGACACAGACACAGAGGGAGAACACCACGUGAAGAUGGGAGUGAUGCUGCCAGAAGCCAAGGAAGUACCAGAAGCUGGGAGAGAGGCCUGGAACACAGCCUUCCCUGGAGCCAUCAGAGGGAGCGUGGCCUGGCUGACACCUUGAUCUUGGACUUUCCAGCCUCCAGAACCGGGAGAGAAUAAAUGUCUGCUGUCUAAACCACCCACUUUGUGGUACUCGGUGGGGGCAGCCGGAGGAAACUAAUUCAGCCACCAACCACCUCGGCUGCCUUGAAGGUGACUCCUCUUGCUGCCAUUAUAGAUUGCUAGGAAGUCUGGGGUUUUGUGACCAUAACUUCCCUCAGCCAAGACUUCCUGAUGAGAAAACUGAGGCACAGAGACCACACAGAGGCUUCCUACACGUUCAUUCUCAUUCACGCUACCCCUCACUGCUUCCUGGAAUCCUCUCCCAAGAAAACUCCAUCAUCUCUGGGUCUGCUCUGAGGAGAACCACCUAAGACCCAUGGCCUCUUUGGGAUAAAAUAAUGGAUCUGCUGCAAAAGCCCAGUCCACCUUUCUAAGCUGUGCAAUGCUGGGCAAGGGAAAUGGGAAGAGACUAAUACUUAGUUCUCAGAAUUCCUUUGAGAAUUAAAUGAGGUAGUUCUUAUACAGUUUGCACAGUGGCUAGCAAAGAGUAGCCCUUCCAUAGAUGUUGGCUAUUAUUACUCUCCUGCUGCUUCUUCUGAAGCCUUCUCCGUCCCCUGUGCCCUGUGGGUAUCCAACAUCCAGAUCAUGCAGGAAUGGUGACGUGGAGCUUCAGAAAGGUGUCUGUACUUGCGAUGGGAGAAAAGGGCUUGAAUCUAGCUGGGCCACCAAUCAAGGAAACUGAAACUUGGUUUCCUUAUCUGUGAAAUGAGAAUGUAAAUAUCAACCUCACGGGGCUAUUGUGAAGAAGAAAUUAAACAAUGUGUAGACAGCACUUGGCAAUGAAUCUGGUGUGUGGUCGGCACUCAGCAAACGUUUGUUGAAGGAAAAGCAGGAGUGACAGGGUCCUGAAUGACCUGCUGGGGUUGUGGCAUCUCUCCCACUGCCCCCUGCAUGGGACUCCCCAGGGCCACCUUGGCCUAGGCAAGCAGGAGGAGUCAGUAGAUGGAAAGGCCUGGCCGCUUGCCACUCUUGAUGAGGCUCAACUCCUUGUUCCGUGCCCAGCCAGGAAACAGUAUUAUUCCAUGAGCCCAAACCCCUCAUUGGACGAGGCCAGCAAUAACCACUGGGAUGCCAUUGUUGUUUGUGAGAUGUCUGGGCAGGACUAAUAGGUGGGGUUGACCAGAAUGAGGGAUUGUAUUAUGAGCGAAGGCGUGUUCUCAAGGGAUCCCUCCUACUCCAAAGGAUGGAGGAAGAUGCUCCAUUGAAUGAGAGCGGAGACACAGA
This 1543-nucleotide long non-coding RNA is filed under the name Equus caballus (horse). Its description in RNAcentral is "lncRNA (ENSECAG00000027763.3)". The record is from RNAcentral. Lineage: Eukaryota; Metazoa; Chordata; Mammalia; Perissodactyla; Equidae.